This 1548-nucleotide long non-coding RNA is filed under the name Elaeis guineensis (African oil palm). Its description in RNAcentral is "long non-coding RNA (EGUI_LNC000831)". The record is from RNAcentral. Lineage: Eukaryota; Viridiplantae; Streptophyta; Magnoliopsida; Arecales; Arecaceae.
CCAGCUCCUAGAGUCCCUAGGUUGCCACUUACCCCCUCUUAUCCUUAGCUUAAGCUCAUCGGCCUGAGCUAAAUCGAUCCUCGGUGGCAACAAAACCCAUACCCUUAGCCUAAGUGGCAGGGAGUAAUAUUAUUCGAGUGCUUGGUGGGAUAGGGUUUUUCCUUGAAAGAACACCAUCACAUAAGUUUAGGUUGAAGUUCUUGACCUUGAGAGGGCUUGUGUUUCACUUUGUGUAGGUUUCCUCCAUGCCCCACGCAGAACAACAAAAGACAACCUCCACUCGGUGAUAGUUGGACUAUAAUAGCAGAAUGACCUCCACAAUUGUGAGAUCUGUAUCUUAUCAUAUCCCAACAAGCUCAAGAACGUGCGAAACAGUUAUCCCCAACCUCCCUCGCAUGUUCUUAAUGCCUUGGGAUCCAACCCUCAUCUACAUAAACUCUUUCCUAGGGAACCUCUAGAUAAGUCCACACAAGUCGAAUCAAGUCUAGACAAGACUUCCUAAGCCUAAAUCCUUCCGAAUACCCUCAAAUUCUUGGAAGCUCUCUAAAGUUCUAUCGAGUCUCUAGAAAAAUCUUUGAGUCACCGAGUCUCCACUCAUGAGCUCAGAGUACCCUACCAGUGGUGAUCCACCCAAAGGGUCUCUCAUAGUUCUAGACUGAGUGACAUCCCCUUGAGACUAUAUCUCUCCUAAACAUAGACCGUUCCUCUCUCCCACAGACUCAAGACUUCCACUCACAUGCACCGUUGAUUUGAUCUCAUCUCCUUCUACUUCUUUUAGAACUUCCUUUGUUCCAUCGAGGUAGACUAAUGCAUCAGAGGGUCCUCACUAGAAAACCCUCGGCAAGCGGACUUCCUUUGCUUUUGGUGUUUCAGCAUGCUCAAAAAAGUUGAAACAUAGUUUUGGACCUCUCCGACAGCUUUCCGACUUUCAACCAGCUCCUAGAGUCCCUAGGUUGCCAAUUACCGCCUCUUAUCCUUAGCUUCAGCUCAUCGGCCUGAGCUAAAUCGACCCUCGGUGGCAACAAAACCCAUACCCCUAGCCUAAGUAGCAGGGAGUAAUAUUAUUCGAGUGCUUGGUGGGAUAGGGUUUCCCCUUGAAAGAACACCAUCACAUAAGUUUAGGUUGAAGUUCUUGACCUUGAGAGGGCUUGUGUUUCACUUUGUGUAGGUUUCCUCCAUGCCCCACACAAAACAACAAAAGACAACCUACAAAUCAACAAUAUUAGCUAUUUUAUUCAAAAGCAAAUUAAAGCAAAAUUCUGCCAAAAUAACCCCACUCCAACAACCAAGACUAGGAAUUUGAAAAUAAUACAUUAAACAAAAUAGAGAUAAGCAAAAUAGUGCAAAGCCCAAGGGUAAUGAAAGGAAACCAGAAAAAUCCUAUCUUGAUCUUAGCCAAGCUUAUCCCUUUAAAUAUAUAUAAGAAAGUCAUCCAAUAUGGACUGACUCCAAGAUAGAGCUUUGCAGGAAGCAAUAACCCCCAAUAUCACUCCAAAUGUCCCCAUCCCACAGUUUUCCCAAAUGCAGUUUUACAAGCAUGACCAUAAU